UGGCACAGGUGACACAGGGAUAGGUGACACAGGGACACGUGACACAGGGAUAGGUGACACAGGGAUAGGUGACACGGGGAUAGGUGACACGGGGAUAGGUGACGCAGGGAUAGGUGACACAGGGAUAGGUGACACAGGGAUAGGUGACACGGGGAUAGGUGACGCAGGGAUAGGUGACGCAGGGAUAGGUGACACAGGGACACGUGACACAGGGACAGGUGACACAGGGAUAGGUGACACAGGGAUAGGUGACGCAGGGAUAGGUGACGCAGGGAUAGGUGACACAGGGACAGCUCCCUGGCUGCUCCCACGGUAUGGAUCCCGCUCCCAGACCUUCCUACAGCCGCCGGAGAAACCAUCUCUGCGUGAGCAGCUGGCACAAGCCCCGAGGACGGGCUUUGGCUGCCCGGGAUCGGGAGCUCCCUGCUCUUCCCAAGCUUUUCACCUGCCUGCUUUGGGAGCCAGCCUUUGGAACUGGCGCAGCGUUUGUCCCGUUGUGGCAGAGCGGCUCCUCCGGACGCACACGCCUGUAGAUAACCGAUGUGUCCUGUGGAAUGUGGCGCUUUCCCAGUGGUUUUGGGUGUGUACAAACCUGGUGUAGCUCAGUGCUGUACUUUUGGCGCGUCCUUCACUUCGUGAUUUGCUUCUCAAGACUCGUUGCAUCGUCGGUGUGGAAAAUAGACCAGUAUCAACCUUAGCUCUUCGGUGGUGUAGAAGUGUUUAAGUGUGGUUUGCCUCACAUACUGAUCCGUAUUUGGCAGCUAAUGGCGUUAAGUGACCAUGAGUUCUCUUUGUCUGGGUUGGAAAAUAAAAGGUUUUAUUGUAUCCGCAUGUAUUUUAAACUUUUUGGAUAAUUCCAUCGACCUGUGAUGACAGCACAUGUAAAAAACGACCUUUUCCUUUUAUUCAGAAGUUAUAUUUGCUGUGGUAGCACUUGUUGUUGGCACUGAUGGUAGUGAUUUCACAUCCUGUUUUGUACAUCAGGUUUCAUGAUUACGGUGUUUGAGUUUGUACAAUUGUUUAUGUAAAAAUGAUUUGGUCUGAAGAGAUGCUGUGUAUUCACUUCUGAUCCUAGACAAGAUCCUACUGGUAAUACUGUUAAGUAGUUACAACUGUACCAGACUUAUUUUUUACAGAGCUUUACAUGCCUUUAUUUAUUCUUUUAUCGGACCAUCCAAACCAUGUACUCUGUAGUUCAGAAUUUGUAGACCAGUUUCACAAAUCAACUUAAGGUAUUGUGGCAAAGCUUCGAAUAAAUGUUUACUGAGACUUUGCA
Non-coding RNA from Pseudopodoces humilis (Tibetan ground-tit), 1276 nucleotides. The record is from RefSeq and is a predicted model, not a curated record. Lineage: Eukaryota; Metazoa; Chordata; Aves; Passeriformes; Paridae.